GACGAACGCUGGCGGCGUGCUUAACACAUGCAAGUCGAACGGCAAGGCCCUGCUUUUGUGGGGUGCCCGAGUGGCGAACGGGUGAGUAACACGUGAGUAACCUGCCCUUGACUUUGGGGUAACUUCAGGAAACUGGGGCUACUACCGGAUAGGAGCUCCUGCUGCAUGGUGGGGGUUGGAAAGUUUAGGCGGUUGGGGAUGGACUAGCGGCUUAUCAGCUUGUUGGUGGGGUAGUGGCUUACCAAGGCUUUGACGGGUAGCCGGCCUGAGAGGGUGACCGGCGACAUUGGGACUGAGAUAGGGCCCAGACGCGUACGGGAGGCAGCAGUGGGGAAUCUUGCACAAUGGGCGGAAGCCUGAUGCAGCAACGCCGCGUGCGGGAUGACGUCCUGCGGGUUGUAAACCGCUUUCGCCUGUGACGAAGCGGGAGUGACGGUAAUGGGUAAAGAAGCACCGGCUAACUACGUG
RNAcentral lists this ribosomal RNA (468 nucleotides) under uncultured bacterium. RNAcentral describes it as "partial 16S ribosomal RNA". It matches the Rfam family "Bacterial small subunit ribosomal RNA", at positions 28 to 507 of the family's 1533-position model. The record is from RNAcentral.